This 329-nucleotide unclassified non-coding RNA is filed under the name soil metagenome. RNAcentral's name for it is "partial contains 5.8S ribosomal RNA, internal transcribed spacer 2, and large subunit ribosomal RNA". The stretch from base 1 to 120 matches the Rfam family "5.8S ribosomal RNA", at positions 35 to 154 of the family's 154-position model. The record is from RNAcentral.
GAUGAAGAACGUAGCGAAAUGCGAUAAGUAAUGUGAAUUGCAGAAUUCAGUGAAUCAUCGAAUCAUUGAACGCACAUUGCGCCCUCUGGUAUUCCGGGGGGCAUGCCUGUUCGAGCGUCAUUAUAACCACUCAAGCUCUCGCUUGGUAUUGGAGUUCGCGAUCUCGCGGCUCCUAAAAUCAGUGGCGGUGCCUGUCGGCUCUACGCGUAGUAAUACUCCUCGCGAUUGAGUCCGGUAGGUUUACUUGCCAGCAACCCCCAAUUUUUACAGGUUGACCUCGGAUCAGGUAGGGAUACCCGCUGAACUUAAGCAUAUCAAUAAGCGGAGGA